GAUUGAGCCUUGGUAUGGAAACCUGCUAAGUGGUAACUUCCAAAUUCAGAGAAACCCUGGAAUGAAAAAUGGGCAAUCCUGAGCCAAAUCUUUAUGUUAAGAAAACAAAGGAUAGGUGCAGAGACUCAAUGGAAGCUGUUCUAACAAAUGGAAUUGACGUUGACUACGUUGCGUUGGUAGCUGGAAUCCCUAUAUCGAAAUUACAGAAAGAAAGGAUGACCCUAUAUGCGUAUAUAUACAUACUGACAUAUCAAACGAUUAAUCACAACUCGAAUCUGGAAUCCAUAUUAUUAACUAUAACUAUAGUUAUAGAUAUUAUAGUUAUUAUUAUAACUAUUUUCUUUAUAUAUUUAAUAAAGAUAUAUUUUUUGAUAAAUUUAUAGAUUAAUUAAGAGUUAUUAUAAAUAUAUUCCAGUCGAAGUUGAAGGAAGAAUCGAAUAUUCAGUGAUCAAAUAAUUCAUUCCGGAGUCGGAUAGAUCUUUUGAAAAAAUGAUUAAUCGGACGAGAAUAAAGAGAGAGUCCUGUUCUACGUGUCAAUACCGACAGCAAUGAAAUUUAUAGUAUUAGGAAAAUCCGUCGACUUUAGAAAUCGUGA
RNAcentral lists this precursor RNA (595 nucleotides) under Gloriosa modesta. RNAcentral's name for it is "partial transfer RNA-Leu". The stretch from base 1 to 245 matches the Rfam family "Group I catalytic intron". The record is from RNAcentral. Lineage: Eukaryota; Viridiplantae; Streptophyta; Magnoliopsida; Liliales; Colchicaceae.